RNAcentral lists this long non-coding RNA (1154 nucleotides) under Equus asinus (donkey). RNAcentral's name for it is "lncRNA (ENSEASG00005031692.1)". The record is from RNAcentral. Lineage: Eukaryota; Metazoa; Chordata; Mammalia; Perissodactyla; Equidae.
UGCCUUUCUCAGUGUCCCCCAGCAGUCAGACACAGCGGCCUUCCAGAGGGCCGAAAGGCCCGUAGUCGAGCCAGCUCUCGGAUCAACUGGGGGACUAUUGUCGUGGGGGCGUUGCUGAGCUGCCGUGUGUGAAAUAUGGUUAAAGCCGGGGACCGCGCAGCUGGGCCACUUCUCCAGAGCCCAGGAGAGAUGGGCUGGGUACUGAAAGAUUUGCUACGUGUGUCCAUUCUAUGUUGUCUUCUUAUUACACAAAAUAAUAAUAAUAAUGGUAAUUAUUAUUAUUAUUAUUAUUAUUAUUAGAGGAGGAGGGUGGACGGAAACUUUGGAGGGGAUGGGUCUGUUUAUGGCACAGGUUUUGGUAAUGGUUCACAGAUGUCUACCUAUUUCCACAGUCUUUAAAUCAUAUACAUUAAAUAUGUACAGCUCUUUUGGGUCAUUCUUUCCUUCAUCCCUCAAGAAAGUGGUUUCAGAAAAUAAUAUUAAAGGCCCUCCCGUGACUACAGAUGAGCGCUCCCUCUCAAAUGUCUUUAGCUUUAGGACUGAAGGGAAGACUGCUUCUCCAUGGUUAAAGGGGUAACGGCGUUGACUGCGUGUGGAUUCUUUUGGGCCUUGGAUUUUCCACUUAUGUGGAGCCUUAGCAUUGGCCGUGUGUAAGGAUAACUUUUAGUUCACAGGGUGUUGACUUUCCUAGACUCACAGCAGUUCUCCAGAACCCAUGAACUUCACCUGAAGGACUUCGACUCAGAGAUGGGGCCUGUGACAUCAGCUACUUCUCAUGUGACCAGAAAUUGAUGUUGGGGUACUGUGACUUUGGCAUUAGGUUGGACUUUGGGUUGUUUUCCUUGUUUACAACAUGUGCUUUUGUGCUUACUCAAGAAAUCUUUUGAAAUACUGUACAUGUGGAGACGUGUCCAGCUGUGUGUGUCCUGUCCGUGUAUUCUACAGGGUGAGCGCCGAGGUCUCAGGCUGAGUAGCCUUUCCAGUAGGAGCCUUUUCUCAGAGACCUUCCCUCACGCUCUGUUUACUGUGUGACUGAGUUCCCUGGCCAUACCAACUCGGUGUGAUACUUUUCUGCUAUCCUCAUUGCUGUGUCUUUACAAUGUGUUUGCUGCUUGUGUUUCUUGCAUUUUAAAGAACCCUUGUGUUCUCCCAAU